This is a long non-coding RNA of Eurytemora carolleeae, 303 nucleotides long. RefSeq lists it as uncharacterized. The transcript is spliced from 3 exons. NCBI's taxonomy places the organism in Eukaryota, Metazoa, Arthropoda, Copepoda, Calanoida, Temoridae. The record is from RefSeq and is a predicted model, not a curated record.
UAAUGUGAAAAUGCAAUAUUGUGAAAAUGUAAUAUUGUGAAAAUGCAAUAUUGUGAAAAUGUAAUAUUGUGAAAAUGUAAUAUUGUGAAAAUGAAAGUUUAGAUACAUAGUUUGCAAGAAUCUAUGUAAGAAAGUCACCGGAAAAAGUUUCUGAAAAAAUCUGGAAGUAAAAACAAUGAUCGUCCCAAGACGACAGCUAACAACUCAAUGUCUGAUAGUUUAACUCUCAGUGACUCCGUUGGGCCUGCCAGACCAGCUUCGAGGAACUCUCUCUUUAGAAACAACAGUACAAAUUCAUAUCAG